This 1299-nucleotide long non-coding RNA is filed under the name Monodelphis domestica (gray short-tailed opossum). Its description in RNAcentral is "lncRNA (ENSMODG00000048562.1)". Lineage: Eukaryota; Metazoa; Chordata; Mammalia; Didelphimorphia; Didelphidae. The record is from RNAcentral.
GCCCCCAGCUAUCAGUCUCCAGGUCAAGUCUCUCCAUUAGUUGUCAAUUACUCCAUUCAGGCCCCGCCCCUAAGGCUGUCAGUCAGCAUCAGGUUACUCCCCCUAGCCGACUGACACUUCGUCUCCGGGCCGGCCCUCCCAUCUGUCAAUCAGUCUCAGGCCCCACCCUACACAUCCAUCAAUCGGUCUUCAGCCCCGCCCCAGGUCGUUGGGUGGCGGUUGGUGCACAGUUUCAUUUGAGAAGGAGGAGCCAGAGAUACGGUCUCCAAUCAUGGACCUUCCUGCGGCCCCUGGGCCGCCCGUUCUACCGUCUCCACAACCCCGGGGGCUCCCUCCCCGCCGCUCCCGCAGCCGCCGGGACCUGGCGCUGCUGGUGAUAAUGCUGGCGGCGCUGCUGGCCGCCGCUUCCCGGGGCUACCUGGGCUCCCAAGACGCCCAGGCCUCGGCGCUGCGGGAGACAGCCCUGAUCCCCGGAAAGAUCUCGUUCUUCUUCUCUGCUUUGGAUGUGAACAGGGACAUGUACAUCAGCCCUAAGGAGUUCAAGCCCAUUGCUGAGAUAAUGAGAGGUAGUGUAGUAAAGCCUAUCACUGACUUUGAAAAGACAGAGGAAUUGAAGGAGGAGACUUCCUCUCAGGAGGAGGAGCUGGCUAUUGUAACUCCAUUCGAGCCCCUGCUGCUAGACACCACAUCAAACAGUAAAACUGGUUUCAAAGAGGAGGAACCUUUAGAACCAGUUUAAAAAUCUCAGAAGAAAAUCUGUUUUGUUACUUCAUAAUCAUAUCAAUUUUUUUGACCAAAAAAAGCAUUUUCUCAGAUUGAUCAUCUACCUUCUUCACCAGACUUCACUUCCACUGACUUGGGGCUUUUUUUCCAAAAAAAAAAAAAAAUCAAAUCCACAAUUUAAAAAAAAAAGAAAAAGAAAUUUUGCUUUGAAAUCCAAAGUGGAAAAAGCAGGACAAAGACAGCAGAAGGGGAUCUCCUUCUUUUCAGAAGUACCAGGGAUGAGGAGGGUCUUUGCCAUUUUAGGUUGAGCAUUUGACUAUAAACUACAGAUAUUCCAAUUGUCCCAGCAAUUUUUCUUACCAUAUAAUUGUUAUCCCCAAAAUUUGGAUCUAUACUUUUGUCGAAUACAAGGUUCCUAUAAUUGUUUACUGUUUGUUGUGUCUGUUCUGUUCCACUGAUCUACCUUUCUGUUUCCUGGAACUUAUGAAUAAGUAGUAGUUUGAUAGAAACUAGGUAUAGACCAAUAUCUUACACCAUUUGCUAAAAUAAAAUCAAAAUAGAUACAUAACCUAGACA